RNAcentral lists this ribosomal RNA (494 nucleotides) under uncultured bacterium. Its description in RNAcentral is "partial 16S ribosomal RNA". It matches the Rfam family "Bacterial small subunit ribosomal RNA", at positions 28 to 507 of the family's 1533-position model. The record is from RNAcentral.
GACGAACGCUGGCGGCGUGCUUAACACAUGCAAGUCGAACGGUGAAGCGCCUUCCUUUUUGGUGGGUGUGGAUGAGUGGCGAACGGGUGAGUAACACGUGAGUAACCUGCCCCCUUCUUCUGGAUAACCGCAUGAAAGUGUGGCUAAUACGGGAUAUUCUGGGUCUGUCGCAUGAUGGGUCUGGGAAAGAUAUUGUUUCGGUGGGGGAUGGGCUCGCGGCCUAUCAGCUUGUUGGUGGGGUGAUGGCCUACCAAGGCGGGGACGGGUAGCCGGCCUGAGAGGGUGGACGGUCACACUGGGACUGAGACACGGCCCAGACUCCUACGGGAGGCAGCAGUGGGGAAUAUUGCACAAUGGGCGCAAGCCUGAUGCAGCGACGCCGCGUGAGGGAUGGAGGCCUUCGGGUUGUGAACCUCUUUCGCCAGUGAAGCAGGCCUGCCUCGUUUGUGGGUGGGUUGACAGUAGCUGGAUAAGAAGCGCCGGCUAACUACGUG